This 467-nucleotide ribosomal RNA is filed under the name uncultured bacterium. RNAcentral describes it as "partial 16S ribosomal RNA". It matches the Rfam family "Bacterial small subunit ribosomal RNA", at positions 28 to 507 of the family's 1533-position model. The record is from RNAcentral.
GACGAACGCUGGCGGCGUGCUUAACACAUGCAAGUCGAACGGAAGGACCUGCUUUUGGGGGGUGUGCGGGUGGCGAACGGGGGAGGAACAACUGAGUAAUCACCCACUUACUUUGGGGUAACAUCAGGGAAAAGGGGCUGAUAACGGAGAAGGACUUCUUGAACCGGGUGGGGGUUGGGAAAUUUCGGCGGUUGGGGUUGGACUUGCGGCUUAUCGGGUUGCUUGUGGGGGAGUGGAUUACAAAGGCUUUGACGGGUAGCCCGCCUUAGAGGGUGACCGGCCUCAUUGGGACUGCGAGACGGCCCAGACUCCUACGGGCGGCAGCAGUGGGGAAUAUUGCACAAUGGGCGGACGCCUGAUGCAGCAACGCCGCGUGCGGGAUGACGGCCUUCGGGUUGUAAACCGCUUUCGCCUGUGACGAAGCGUGAGUGACGGUAAUGGGUAAAGAAGCACCGGCUAACUACGUG